CAACCUCCGCCUCCUGGGUUCAAGCAAUUCUUCUGCCUCAGCCUCCCAAGUAGCAGGGAUUACAGGCAUGCGCCACCAUGGCUGGCUAAUUUUGUAUUUUUAGUAAAGACGGGGUUUCUCCAUGUUGGCCAGGCUGAUCUCAAAUUCCCAACCUCAGGUGAUCCACCUGCCUAUGCCUCCCAGAGUGCUAGGAUUACAGGCAUGAGCCACUGCAACCAGCCCAUACUGGUUAUUUACUGUAUAUUAUCUAUAUUAUAUACUACAGUCUGAAUGCUAAAAUUACCUCACAGGCUAAUUUCACUAGCCUGAUAAAACGUCACCAGCUACUUCUUUUCAGAUUGUGUCUCAUCAGCUCUCUCUUUCAGAAUGUAAUCUGAUAAACUUUCUCUAGAGCAUAGAGCACUGGUUCUCAAAAUGUAAUCCCAGAUGCAACACUACAGCAGUAGCAUCACUUCAGAACAUGUCAGAAAUGUAACUUCUCAGCCAUACUACCCACCACUACCACCUCUCCUUCAGACUACUGAAUCUGAAACUUUAGACCCCGAGGGCUCGUUAAACGGAUGGGCCUCACUGCUGGUGGUUCCACCUCUUUUGAUAUUGGCAAUAUCUAGUGAAGUUAAAAAUGUGUAUAUCCAAUAACCCAAAAAUUCUAAAUCUAGGUCCUAGGAAUCCUAAAGAAAUUCUCACAUAUUGCUCAAGGAGAGGAGUACUAAGUUAUACACUAAAGCAUCAACCAAAGAAUGGAUAAAUAGGUUGUUGAAUACUCAUACUAUGGAAUACUUCAUAGAGGUGAAAAUCAGUAAAUCAGAGCUAUAUGUAGUAGCAGACCUUUAAUGUGGGAAAAAAGGAACCACCCAUAUAAAAAUUAAGACCAUUAUGAUAUAUUGUUUAUGGAUGUACACAUAUGUAGAAAAGUAUAAAAAUACAUGUGGAAAUAGUGUUUACCUCUGAGAAGGAAUUCACAGGGAGCUCACUUGUGUUUGUAAUGUUUUAUUUUUUAAGUGCUAGAUGGUAAGUACUCAGUUCUCAUUUUCUGUACAUUUUGGAAUACCUGAAAUAUUUCACAAUUUUUUUAUGAUUAUAUCUGGAACCUGAAGUGAGAAGACAGAAGGACCCCCAGUACUAACAAGAACCCUUUCUAUUUUGCUUCAGGAAGAAGGAGAGAGCUUCAAAGAGGAGGAGAGGGCUAUGAUUGAGGUGUUCUGGGACAAUGUCAACCCACUCAAAUGCAGAGUGGUCAGACUCAAAGCCACCCCAAAAUAAGCCAGUGUUUGGAAGUGUACCCCAUCUUCCCCUCACCAUAAAGGUUAUAAUAUUGGUUUUAUUUCAGAUAAAACAGAAUUUCAUCUUCCAAACUCACAAAGUCUCUCUUAGUUAUUCUGAAAGGUAUUACCACUAAAUCUGUCUCUGUUGAAGUACCCUAUGGUUUCUCUACCAUUCCUCCUGGAUUGUGUCUACCUUAACCAGUGCAGUGUUAUCCUGGAACAGAGGAAACCACAGACCUUCAGGGCACACACUAGAGAAUAAUAUUUGCAGGUUUAAAAAGAUAACUGAAUGACAAAAUUAAAACCUCAGUUUGGUUGAAUGCUUCUCAUCCUAUUUUAACCACAAGUAGCAGAAAGAUCUGAAAUUCCACAGAGAUUAGAAUUUUAUCAGAAGAACUUCACCAUGAUAAUAAAAUUCACCAUAAACUUAACUGAAUAAAAGCAGUAAUAAUUUUUAAAAAGCUUUAAAAUGUAGUUGAAUUAUCUGUUCAA
Molecule: long non-coding RNA, 1757 nt
Organism: Macaca fascicularis (crab-eating macaque)
Lineage: Eukaryota; Metazoa; Chordata; Mammalia; Primates; Cercopithecidae
Source: Ensembl